AUGACUGGAAAGGGAGGUUUUGGUAAAGUAUACAAGGGAAUGUUAGGUGGUCAAGAAGUUGCAAUCAAGAGGAUAAGUAGAGAUUCUCGACAAGGAACAAAAGAAUUUAGGAAUGAAGUAAUUCUAAUUGCCAAGUUGCAACAUAGAAACUUGGUUCGACUUCUUGGAUGUUGCAGCGAGGGAGAUGAAAAACUCUUGAUAUACGAGUAUCUACCAAAUAAGAGCUUAGAUGCUACCCUUUUUGAUGAGUCAAGAAAAAUGAUGUUGGACUGGCCGACAAGAUUCCGUAUAAUCAAAGGGAUUGCAAGGGGACUUCUAUAUCUUCAUGAAGACUCGAGGUCCACCGUAAUUCAUAGAGAUCUCAAAGCUGGAAAUGUUUUGCUCGAUGCAAAUUUGAAACCCAAGAUAGCUGAUUUUGGUAUGGUGAGGAUCUUUGGUGAUAACGAGGAAAAUGCAAAUACCCAACGCAUUGUUGGAACAUAUGGCUACAUGGCUCCUGAGUAUGCAAUGGAAGGAGUCUUCUCUACCAAGUCUGACGUGUACAGUUUCGGCAUGUUACUACUAGAGUCAUGGAAUAUGUGGAAGGAAGAAAAGACUGAGGAGCUGCCUAGCUCAUCCAUCAUAGAUACUUCACCAGAUGAAGUUUUGCUUUGCGUCCAUGUAGCGCUAUUGUGCGUCCAGGAAAACCCUGAUGAUAGGCCUCUCAUGUCAUCUGUGGUGUUUGGCCUAGAGAAUGGAAGCACCACACUUACAUCCCCCAAUCUCUCCGCCUACUUUGCGCGAUGA
Molecule: ribosomal RNA, 786 nt
Filed under: Triticum aestivum (bread wheat)
Lineage: Eukaryota; Viridiplantae; Streptophyta; Magnoliopsida; Poales; Poaceae
Description: partial small subunit ribosomal RNA
Source: RNAcentral